RNAcentral lists this ribosomal RNA (463 nucleotides) under uncultured bacterium. Its description in RNAcentral is "partial 16S ribosomal RNA". It matches the Rfam family "Bacterial small subunit ribosomal RNA", at positions 28 to 507 of the family's 1533-position model. The record is from RNAcentral.
GACGAACGCUGGCGGCGUGCUUAACACAUGCAAGUCGAACGGAAAGGCCUUUUCGGAGGUACUCGAGUGGCGAACGGGUGAGUAACACGUGGGUGAUCUGCCCUGCACUCUGGGAUAAGCCUGGGAAACUGGGUCUAAUACCGGAUAGGACCGCACUUUAGCGUGUGUGGUGGAAAGUUUUUUCGGUGUAGGAUGAGCCCGCGGCCUAUCAGCUUGUUGGUGGGGUAAUGGCCUACCAAGGCGGCGACGGGUAGCCGGACUGAGAGGUUGGUCGGCCACAUUGGGACUGAGAUACGGCCCAGACUCCUACGGGAGGCAGCAGUGGGGAAUAUUGCACAAUGGGCGCAAGCCUGAUGCAGCGACGCCGCGUGGGGGAUGACGGCCUUCGGGUUGUAAACUCCUUUCGCCAGGGACGAAGCGUUUUGUGACGGUACCUGGAGAAGAAGCACCGGCUAACUACGUG